RNAcentral lists this ribosomal RNA (459 nucleotides) under uncultured bacterium. RNAcentral's name for it is "partial 16S ribosomal RNA". It matches the Rfam family "Bacterial small subunit ribosomal RNA", at positions 338 to 795 of the family's 1533-position model. The record is from RNAcentral.
CCUACGGGUGGCAGCAGUGAGGAAUAUUGGUCAAUGGGCGGAAGCCUGAACCAGCCAAGUCGCGUGAGGGAAUAAGGCCCUACGGGUCGUAAACCUCUUUUGCCGGGGAGCAAGGGCGGGGACGUGUCCCGGCCCGGAGAGUACCCGGAGAAAAAGCAACGGCUAACUCCGUGCCAGCAGCCGCGGUAAUACGGAGGAUGCGAGGGUUAUCGGGAUUUGUUGGGUUUAAAGGGUGCGUAGGCGGGCUUUUAAGGCAGGGGUAAAAAUUCGGGCUCAACCCCGUCCGGCCGUUGAAACUGGGGGCCUUGAGUGGGCUAGAAGAAGGCGGAAUGCGUGGUGUAGCGGUGAAAUGCAUAGAUAUCACGCAGAACCCCGAUUGCGAAGGCAGCCUACCGGCGCUCAACUGACGCUCAUGCACGAAAGUGUGGGUAUCGAACAGGAUUAGAUACCCCUGUAGUC